GAUGCUGUUCAGGUAGUCAACCAUCAUCA
RNAcentral lists this non-coding RNA (29 nucleotides) under Rattus norvegicus (Norway rat). Lineage: Eukaryota; Metazoa; Chordata; Mammalia; Rodentia; Muridae. The record is from RNAcentral.